This 97-nucleotide ribosomal RNA is filed under the name Acinetobacter sp. 723929. Lineage: Bacteria; Pseudomonadati; Pseudomonadota; Gammaproteobacteria; Moraxellales; Moraxellaceae. The record is from RNAcentral.
GGCGACCAUAGCAAGAGUGAACCACCUGAUCCCUUCCCGAACUCAGAAGUGAAACCUCUUAGCGCUGAUGGUAGUGUGGGGUUACCCAUGUGAGAGU